UCAACUUUUCAGCCUUUUGGCUAAAACUAAGUAUAGUAUCUAUUCUUAUCUGUUUAAUUUCUGAUGCAUCCCUAUCAGAGGACAAUACAUGAAACAGACUUUUGGAGCCAGGAGAUAGAAUGGGCGCUUGCUUCAUCCACUCCACACAUCAACCUGACAUUACAGUACCUCCGGGAACACUACACCAAUU
Molecule: small nuclear RNA, 190 nt
Filed under: Microcebus murinus (gray mouse lemur)
Lineage: Eukaryota; Metazoa; Chordata; Mammalia; Primates; Cheirogaleidae
Description: U2 spliceosomal RNA (ENSMICG00000031996.2)
Rfam family: U2 spliceosomal RNA
About the family: U2 is a small nuclear RNA (snRNA) component of the spliceosome (involved in pre-mRNA splicing). Complementary binding between U2 snRNA (in an area lying towards the 5' end but 3' to hairpin I) and the branchpoint sequence (BPS) of the intron results the bulging out of an unpaired adenosine, on the BPS, which initiates a nucleophilic attack at the intronic 5' splice site, thus starting the first of two transesterification reactions that mediate splicing.
Source: Rfam by way of RNAcentral